CGCGGAGUGGAGCAGUUGGUAGCUCGUCGGGCUCAUAACCCGAAGGUCGUAGGUUCAAGUCCUACCUCCGCAA
Molecule: transfer RNA, 73 nt
Organism: Clostridium acetireducens DSM 10703
Lineage: Bacteria; Bacillati; Bacillota; Clostridia; Eubacteriales; Clostridiaceae
Rfam family: tRNA
About the family: Transfer RNA (tRNA) molecules are approximately 80 nucleotides in length.
Source: Rfam